GACAGAGGAUGCAAGCGUUAUCCGGAAUGAUUGGGCGUAAAGCGUCUGUAGGUGGCUUUUUAAGUCCGUCGUCAAAUCCCAGGGCUUCAACCCUGGACAGGCGGUGGAAACUACCAAGCUGGAGUACGGGUAAGGGGCAGAGGGAAUUUCCGGUGGAGCGGUGAAAUGCGUAGAGAUCGGAAAGAACACCAACGGCGAAAGCACUCUGCUGGGCCGACACUGACACUGAGAGACGAAAGCUAGGGGAGCGAAUGGG
This 256-nucleotide ribosomal RNA is filed under the name uncultured bacterium. RNAcentral describes it as "partial 16S ribosomal RNA". It matches the Rfam family "Bacterial small subunit ribosomal RNA", at positions 524 to 776 of the family's 1533-position model. The record is from RNAcentral.